UCAGUAUUCAGUUUAGCUUGUAGCUCCAAUGAAUCUACCAGUGUUGUUGCAGUAGGUAGCUAAUCAGGCAUCAGUGGGCAGGAGAGGGCUCCACCAAAACCCCACCAGGAAUGUCAGGCAUCAGGUGAUGGUCAGGCGGUUGUUAACUGUCUCUCUAAAAUAAUAAUUGGUUGCAGCCAGCAGCAGGGAAAGGCAGUCUUUCUACAGAUAGGAAACACCUGAGACUGGUGAUCAGCCGCUUCCUGAUGAGAUCUCAGGAGUGAGCUCGAGCAUGCGCAUUAAGAAACAAAAUGGCCGAGUUUAACUGGUAUGUGAACGUUUUAAGAUUUGACUCAGGGGCAUAAAGGCAGAAAAAGAGACUGAGGCAAGUUUUAGGGCAGGAGUGGAAGGCAAGAAUUGAUGUUGCUGCAGACCUGUACGGAUUUGCUGCUGGUUACAUCUACUACAAUACUGCAGAUACAGUAUAACAUUGGUAUUGCUGGUAUGAUUCCUCUCCCUUAGGGGUGUGCCUUCACUCUUUAUCUGACCUUCUUCUGGAUACAGCAAACACUUGUGGACCAGCUGCACUGAAGCAUUAAACAAGUACUAUCAACGGACUUUUCCCACUUAACUGCUGGAUACUUACAAAGAAACUGCUGAGGAUUAGCUUGCAAACAUAGAAACUUCAGUCAACAUCCACAGGAGCUGAUUUAC
RNAcentral lists this long non-coding RNA (693 nucleotides) under Homo sapiens (human). RNAcentral's name for it is "HSALNT0129394". The record is from RNAcentral. Lineage: Eukaryota; Metazoa; Chordata; Mammalia; Primates; Hominidae.